GACGAACGCUGGCGGCGUGCCUAAUACAUGCAAGUCGAACGGAAAGGCCCUGCUCUUGCGGGGUGCUCGAGUGGCGAACGCGUGAGUAUCACGUGAGUAACCUGUCCUUGACUUAGUGAUAACUCUAGGAAACUGGGGCUAAUAUCGGAUAUGAUCUCCUGAUGCACGUUGUGGGAUGGAAAGUUUCGGCGGUUGGGGAUCGUCUCGCGGCUUAUCAGCUUGUUGGUGGGGUAGUGGCUUACCAAGGCUUUGACGGGUAGCCGGCCUGAGAGGGUGACCGGCCACAUUGGGACUGAGAGACGGCCCAGACUCGUACGGUAGGCAGCAGUGGGGAAUAUGGCACAAUGGGCGGAAGCCUGAUGCAGCAGCGCUGCGUGCGGAAUGACGGCCUUCGAGUUGUAAACCGCUUUCGACUGUGACGAAGCGUGAGUGACGGUAAUGGGUAAAGAAGCACCGGCUAACUACGUG
Molecule: ribosomal RNA, 468 nt
Filed under: uncultured bacterium
Lineage: Bacteria
Description: partial 16S ribosomal RNA
Rfam family: Bacterial small subunit ribosomal RNA
Source: RNAcentral